UACGUAGGGUGCAAGCGUUGUCCGGAAUUACUGGGCGUAAAGAGCUCGUAGGCGGCUUGUCGCGUCGUCUGUGAAAUCUCGAGGCUCAACCUCGAGCUUGCAGGCGAUACGGGCAGACUUGAGUACUGCAGGGGAGACUGGAAUUCCUGGUGUAGCGGUGAAAUGCGCAGAUAUCAGGAGGAACACCGGUGGCGAAGGCGGGUCUCUGGGCCGAUACUGACGCUGAGGAGCGAAAGCGUGGGGAGCGAACAGG
Molecule: ribosomal RNA, 253 nt
Filed under: uncultured bacterium
Lineage: Bacteria
Description: partial 16S ribosomal RNA
Rfam family: Bacterial small subunit ribosomal RNA
Source: RNAcentral